This 203-nucleotide ribosomal RNA is filed under the name Gymnodinium catenatum. Its description in RNAcentral is "partial Bacterial large subunit ribosomal RNA". It matches the Rfam family "Bacterial large subunit ribosomal RNA", at positions 771 to 972 of the family's 2925-position model. Lineage: Eukaryota; Dinophyceae; Gymnodiniales; Gymnodiniaceae. The record is from RNAcentral.
GGACCGAACCCACUAACUUUGAAAAGUUAGGGGAUGACUUGUGGCUGGGGGUGAAAGGCCAAUCAAACCGGGAGAUAGCUGGUUCUCCCCGAAAUCUAUUUAGGUAGAGCCUCGGACGAAUUCCAUUGGGGGUAGAGCACUGUUAAGGCUAGGGGGUCAUCCCGACUUACCAACCCUUUGCAAACUCCGAAUACCAAUGAGAA